GAUGAACGCUGGCGGCGUGCCUAAUACAUGCAAGUCGAGCGAACGGACGAGAAGCCCGCUUCCUUGCUGUUAGCGGCGGACGGGUGAGUAACAAGUGGAUAACCUACCUAUAAGACUGGGAUCACUUAGGGAAACCGGAGACAAUACAGGAUGAUCUUUUGAACCGUAAGGUUCAAUAGUGCAUGAUGGUUUUGUUGUAACUUAUAGAUGGACCCGCGUUGCAUUAGCUAGUUGGUAAGGUAACGGCUUACCAAGGCAACGAUGCAUAGCCGACCUGAGAGGGUGAUCGGCCACACUGGAACUGAGACACGGUCCAGACUCCUACGGGAGGCAGCAGUAGGGAAUCUUCCGCAAUGGGCGAAAGCCUGACGGAGCAACGCCGCGUGAGUGAUGAAGGUCUUCGGAUCGUAAAACUCUGUUAUUAGGGAAGAACAUAUGUGUAAGUAACUGUGCACAUCUUGACGGUACCUAAUCAGAAAGCCACGGCUAACUACGUG
RNAcentral lists this ribosomal RNA (497 nucleotides) under uncultured bacterium. Its description in RNAcentral is "partial 16S ribosomal RNA". It matches the Rfam family "Bacterial small subunit ribosomal RNA", at positions 28 to 507 of the family's 1533-position model. The record is from RNAcentral.